RNAcentral lists this non-coding RNA (24 nucleotides) under Arabidopsis thaliana (thale cress). Lineage: Eukaryota; Viridiplantae; Streptophyta; Magnoliopsida; Brassicales; Brassicaceae. The record is from RNAcentral.
AGCCAGUUGCAGAAGAAGAAGUGC